UACGAAGGGGACUAGCGUUGCUCGGAAUCACUGGGCGUAAAGGGUGCGUAGGCGGGUUUUUAAGUCAGGGGUGAAAUCCUGGAGCUCAACUCCAGAACUGCCUUUGAUACUGAAGAUCUUGAGUUCGGGAGAGGUGAGUGGAACUGCGAGUGUAGAGGUGAAAUUCGUAGAUAUUCGCAAGAACACCAGUGGCGAAGGCGGCUCACUGGCCCGAUACUGACGCUGAGGCACGAAAGCGUGGGGAGCAAACAGG
Molecule: ribosomal RNA, 253 nt
Filed under: uncultured bacterium
Lineage: Bacteria
Description: partial 16S ribosomal RNA
Rfam family: Bacterial small subunit ribosomal RNA
Source: RNAcentral